AGUGAACGCUGGCGGUAGGCCUAACACAUGCAAGUCGAACGGCAGCACAGGAGAGCUUGCUCUCUGGGUGGCGAGUGGCGGACGGGCGAGGAAUACAUCGGAAUCUACUCUGUCGUGGGGGAUAACGUAGGGAAACUUACGCUAAUACCGCAUACGACCUACGGGUGAAAGCAGGGGAUCUUCGGACCUUGCGCGAUUGAAUGAGCCGAUGUCGGAUUAGCUAGUUGGCGGGGUAAAGGCCCACCAAGGCGACGAUCCGUAGCUGGUCUGAGAGGAUGAUGAGCCACACUGGAACUGAGACACGGUCCAGACUCCUACGGGAGGCAGCAGUGGGGAAUAUUGGACAAUGGGCGCAAGCCUGAUCCAGCCAUACCGCGUGGGUGAAGAAGGCCUUCGGGUUGUAAAGCCCUUUUGUUGGGAAAGAAAUCCAGCUGGCUAAUACCCGGUUGGGAUGACGGUACCCAAAGAAUAAGCACCGGCUAACUUCGUGCCAGCAGCCGCGGUAA
This 506-nucleotide ribosomal RNA is filed under the name uncultured bacterium. Its description in RNAcentral is "partial 16S ribosomal RNA". It matches the Rfam family "Bacterial small subunit ribosomal RNA", at positions 29 to 523 of the family's 1533-position model. The record is from RNAcentral.